UGGCCUUACACUUGCAAGUCGAACGGCAGCACGGGAGCAAUCCUGGUGGCGAGUGGCGAACGGGUGAGUAAUAUAUCGGAACGUGCCCAGUCGUGGGGGAUAACGCAGCGAAAGCUGUGCUAAUACCGCAUACGAUCUAUGGAUGAAAGCGGGGGAUCGCAAGACCUCGCGCGAUUGGAGCGGCCGAUAUCAGAUUAGGUAGUUGGUGGGGUAAAAGCCCACCAAGCCGACGAUCUGUAGCUGGUCUGAGAGGACGACCAGCCACACUGGAACUGAGACACGGUCCAGACUCCUACGGGAGGCAGCAGUGGGGAAUUUUGGACAAUGGGCGCAAGCCUGAUCCAGCAAUGCCGCGUGCAGGAUGAAGGCCUUCGGGUUGUAAACUGCUUUUGUACGGAACGAAACGGUCCUUUCUAAUACAAGGGGCUAAUGACGGUACCGUAAGAAUAAGCACCGGCUAACUACGUG
RNAcentral lists this ribosomal RNA (468 nucleotides) under uncultured bacterium. Its description in RNAcentral is "bacterial SSU rRNA". It matches the Rfam family "Bacterial small subunit ribosomal RNA", at positions 45 to 507 of the family's 1533-position model. The record is from RNAcentral.